CCCUUAGAUGUUCUGGGCCGCACGCGCGCUACACUGAUGCAUUCAACGAGUCUAAAACCUGGUCUGAUAGGGCUGGGUAAUCUUUUGAAUGUGCAUCGUGCUGGGGAUAGAUGAUUGCAAUUAUUCAUCUUCAACGAGGAAUUCCUAGUAAACGCAAGUCAUCAGCUUGCAUUGAUUACGUCCCUGCCCUUUGUACACACCGCCCGUCGCACCUACCGAUUGAAUGGUCCGGUGAAAUCUUCGGACCGGGAACAGCGACCUCUGGCGUGGGCUUGUUCACUCAGGGGACGCUGUCCCGGGAAGUUGCUUAAAUCUUACCAUUUAGAGGAAGGUGAAGUCGUAACA
This 345-nucleotide ribosomal RNA is filed under the name uncultured eukaryote. RNAcentral's name for it is "partial 18S ribosomal RNA". It matches the Rfam family "Eukaryotic small subunit ribosomal RNA", at positions 1470 to 1796 of the family's 1831-position model. The record is from RNAcentral.